This 654-nucleotide ribosomal RNA is filed under the name Triticum aestivum (bread wheat). RNAcentral describes it as "partial small subunit ribosomal RNA". The record is from RNAcentral. Lineage: Eukaryota; Viridiplantae; Streptophyta; Magnoliopsida; Poales; Poaceae.
AUGGAGCUGCUCUACCUCUCGGCGUGCCUGGCCAAGGUGCCGCACGGCGGCUGGCUGCCGCCGCUGCUCUCGCUGGCCACGCUGCUGGUCAUGUCCGCGUGGCACUACGGCACGGCCAAGAAGCAGGAGUACGAGCUGCAGAACAAGGUGUGCCUGGACCACUUCAUCGGCCUCAGCUCCGGCAUGGGCCUCGUGCGCGUCCCGGGGGUGGGCUUCGUCUACUCGGACUCCGUCGCCGGCGUGUCGCCCAUGUUCGCGCACUUCGUCACCAACUUCCCGGCGUUCCACCGGGUGCUCGUCUUCGUGUCGCUGCAGACGCCGACCGUGCCCAAGGUGCCGCCGGAGGAGCGGUUCCUGGUGGGCAGGAUCGGGCGGCCGGAGCACCGGAUGUUCCGCUGCGUGGUCCGGUACGGGUACAAGGAGGGCCGGUGGGACCACUUCAACUUCGAGGACCAGCUGCUGGUGAAGGUCAUGGAGUUCCUCCAGAUGCAGCCGUUCCCGUGCGCCGGCGGCAAGCGGCUGGGGAAGGAGGAGGCCGGCGACGAGGAGGAAAAGGAGGCGGAGGACCCGAUUGCUUUUUUAAGAAAAACUAGGGACCCGAUUGCAUUUUUAGCCCGCUUAUGUGUGGGGUCGGGCAGUCAGAUUCGCGUUUAA